CUUUCUGCUUCAACUUUAAAUUAAAUUUCCUUCACUAAGCCAGCCCUCUGGACUUCCAGUAAGCUGUGUUCCUAUUGGCUGUCCAGGUGGCUGCUUGGUGUUAUCAGGAACACCUGAGCAGCUCAGUGUCUUCCUGCUUUAUUUAGCUGCAGACAAACAUUUCCUCUGCUUCUCUUCACCACUGAACCAGAUGCACAAUGAGGGACGUCUGCAGAGACUGAGAAAGUCUCACCACAUCCUGACAUGAGGGAAAAGACUUUAUUGAAGACUACAAUGAGAAAAACUAUCAGACAGCAGACGGCUGCAUUCAAGUCUGUAGCUGCUGAAUUCAUGGAUGAAUCAUCUGGCACUAGAGAGGAAGACCAUCAAACAUCCACGUCAGCUGAUGGAGGUCCAAGAGUCUCACCCAACAAACAACCUACAGAGUGAAGACCUCGAACCUGAUUGGACGGCCUCCUAUUCAGCCACAUGUGAACAAAUGCCUCUAUGUUGGUUUGUUUUCUAAAAUAACAUGACAUGUUCAGGCGUUCUUUGUGUGAAAACUCAGAGAUUUCAGGUAUCAGAAGGUGGUUUUUAACUUUCUUUGUUAACUUUCUGCCUCAACUUUAAACUAAAUUUCCUUCACUAACCCAGCCCUCUGGACUUCCAGUAAGCUGUGUUCCCAUUGGCUGUCCAGGCGGCUGCUUGGUGUUAUCAGGAACACCUGAGCAGCGCAGUGUCUUCCUGUUUUAUUUAGCUGCAGACAAACAUUUCCUCUGCUUCACCACUGAACCGGGUUUGGCUCCAUUGCUUUAGUUUGUGCUUUAGGCGUUGGCUUGCAGCUUCCAGCAGUAAAAUCGUCUUUAAUGUGUUUCUUGGUGUGUUUUACGGCUUUGUACUGGAUAGUUGUCUUGGUAAAUGUGGUUCUUUAGCCACAGUUAGCACAUGGUGCUAAUGUGUGCAGUGAUUAGUGGAUUUGGUGCAGCUGAGUUGUGUCUUUAUUUUGGCUGUAGUGAGUCUUUAGAGGUUUUUGGUCAGACACAUUCUGUAUUCUUGUUUGAGAACCAACGUUGGUUGUCCAGAAGGUAAGAGUUCCUGUCCUGAUUCUCUGUUUAAAGAGGUUCUCUGGUUGCAGGAGACUUUAGCAUUUGGGUUGUGCUAGUUUGGUUUUUGUACCGUUUCAUUUGGACGACUAUCUUGAGGCCCCUCCAUGUGGUUUAGUGAGGUUUUCUGGAACAGUUCUACAAAGCAACCUGCAGCAGAAGAGACUUUGAGAGUUUUUAGGAAGUUCGGGAGAGCAGACUUUAGAGCAGCAGAAACAUUUGUCAGCAGUUUGAGCAGGAGAAGGUGAGCUUCAGAGUAGAAAUGAGACAGAAACCUUCUUGACCUGUGUGGUGAGGUCCUGUACCAAGAGUUUGAGCAGGUUGUGAAGAGUCUGUAGUUCUUUGGUCUGAAAGCACAAGAAGAGUCGACUCCUUAAAGGAGAAAACAGGAGAUAUUGUUGGUUCUUCUGUGGCUCUACAGUUUCCAGUUUCCUUAGACUGAAUAUCAAGUUUAUAUUUUAAAUGAUUUAACAUGUGAGCCCAAGAAGACGUCAAUAAACUCCCUCAAUCCCCUGGACACAACAUAUUUUAUUACCAUGUUAAAUCUUUUUUUUUAAAAAAUAUGUUUCUGAGUUUUAAUCAUAGUUUUAGCAUAGUUUUUUUUCUUUG
This is a long non-coding RNA of Amphiprion ocellaris (clown anemonefish), 1691 nucleotides long. Lineage: Eukaryota; Metazoa; Chordata; Actinopteri; Pomacentridae. The record is from Ensembl.